GAACAAAUCUGACUUUUUUUCUAUCUGAAAGAAUUGAAAGCAAAAUAAUCCUCAGAUAUAAUGAACUUGAUAUCCUGUUAAGCUCCAAGCUGGUUAUAGAAUCUUUCAUUACCACAAAAUGUAUCAGCUCAAUAUCUCAUUCUACUUUUAGUGUCUCCUAAAGAGAUCACUGGUACAAGGAAAUUGAAAUAGCAAUCAAAACUGUUGUCUUUUUGUCUCAUCCCAACAUAUGUGCUCCUGAGCAUUGUUACAUAGAAGAUUGCUCCUGAACUGAGAGUGCUGAGAUCUUAAAUCUUCUCCAUCUGAUCUGAACAAGGGUUUCAAGGGAUCUGAACUGCAUGGUUUUGGAGAUAAAAUUUACAAAAUAGAGAUAAAUAAACCGAAGAAUAUUCCUCUCAUUUUCAAAGUGAUAGAAAUGGAAGAAGAUAUCUGAAGUCCUAAAGUACUCUGUUAUAGCAAAUAUGAUGAAGAACUUUCUGAGCUUGAGAAUAACAGAGAGUUCUUUUGAAAAUAAGCCUCCUAGAGACACUGGAACAACCCAGAUGUGCACAAAUUCAGUUUCAAGGAAUCCUUCAACAUGACUGUAAUUCCUUCAUAUAUGCUCUUGCAUUAUGACUACAGAGAAGUGUGUGCUGGAAUUAUUGCUGAUGCAGAAAGAAGCAAAAAGGACUCGCAGUAGACGGUUGUUCUUUCAGAUCUGCAAAGACAUCUGGUCCUGAGUUGUAACUAUACAAAAUAUAGUGACACCUGCUCUUCUUCACUACUGGACUCUGUAGGCAACAACAUUACAUUGUAAAGAUAGAUAAAGUAAAAUAAAGAAGGGGGGCA
This 828-nucleotide long non-coding RNA is filed under the name Phasianus colchicus (ring-necked pheasant). RNAcentral describes it as "lncRNA (ENSPCLG00000016870.1)". Lineage: Eukaryota; Metazoa; Chordata; Aves; Galliformes; Phasianidae. The record is from RNAcentral.